GUCGGACGGCAGCGCGGGGGCAACCCUGGCGGCGAGUGGCGAACGGGUGAGUAAUACAUCGGAACGUGUCCUGGAGUGGGGGAUAGCCCGGCGAAAGCCGGAUUAAUACCGCAUACGCUCUGUGGAGGAAAGCGGGGGAUCUUCGGACCUCGCGCUCAAGGGGCGGCCGAUGGCAGAUUAGCUAGUUGGUGGGGUAAAGGCCUACCAAGGCGACGAUCUGUAGCUGGUCUGAGAGGACGACCAGCCACACUGGGACUGAGACACGGCCCAGACUCCUACGGGAGGCAGCAGUGGGGAAUUUUGGACAAUGGGGGCAACCCUGAUCCAGCAAUGCCGCGUGUGUGAAGAAGGCCUUCGGGUUGUAAAGCACUUUUGUCCGGAAAGAAAACCGCUUCUCUAAUACAGGGGCGGGAUGACGGUACCGGAAGAAUAAGCACCGGCUAACUACGUGCCAGCAGCCGCGGUAAUACGUAGGGUGCAAGCGUUAAUCGGAAUUACUGGGCGUAAAGCGUGCGCAGGCGGUUCGCUAAGACCGAUGUGAAAUCCCCGGGCUUAACCUGGGAACUGCAUUGGUGACUGGCGGGCUAGAGUAUGGCAGAGGGGGGUAGAAUUCCACGUGUAGCAGUGAAAUGCGUAGAGAUGUGGAGGAAUACCGAUGGCGAAGGCAGCCCCCUGGGCCAAUACUGACGCUCAUGCACGAAAGCGUGGGGAGCAAACAGGAUUAGAUACCCUGGUAGUCCACGCCCUAAACGAUGUCAACUAGUUGUCGGGUCUUCAUUGACUUGGUAACGAAGCUAACGCGUGAAGUUGACCGCCUGGGGAGUACGGUCGCAAGAUUAAAACUCAAAGGACUUGACGGGGACCCGCACAAGCGGUGGAUGAUGUGGAUUAAUUCGAUGCAACGCGAAAAACCUUACCUACCCUUGACAUGUACGGAACC
This 940-nucleotide ribosomal RNA is filed under the name Burkholderia sp. JFN-J6. RNAcentral describes it as "bacterial SSU rRNA". It matches the Rfam family "Bacterial small subunit ribosomal RNA", at positions 61 to 997 of the family's 1533-position model. Lineage: Bacteria; Pseudomonadati; Pseudomonadota; Betaproteobacteria; Burkholderiales; Burkholderiaceae. The record is from RNAcentral.